GAUGAACGCUGGCGGCGUGCCUAAUACAUGCAAGUCGAGCGAACGGACGAGAAGCUUGCUUCUCUGAUGUUAGCGUCGGACGGGUGAGUAACACGUGGAUAACCUACCUAUAAGACUGGGAUAACUUCGGGAAACCGGAGCUAAUACCGGAUAAUAUUUUGAACCGCAUGGUUCAAAAGUAAAAGACGGUCUUGCUGUCACUUAUAGAUGGAUCCGCGCUGCAUUAGCUAGUUGGUAAGGUAACGGCUUACCAAGGCAACGAUGCAUAGCCGACCUGAGAGGGUGAUCGGCCACACUGGAACUGAGACACGGUCCAGACUCCUACGGGAGGCAGCAGUAGGGAAUCUUCCGCAAUGGGCGAAAGCCUGACGGAGCAACGCCGCGUGAGUGAUGAAGGUCUUCGGAUCGUAAAACUCUGUUAUUAGGGAAGAACAUAUGUGUAAGUAACUGUGCACAUCUUGACGGUACCUAAUCAGAAAGCCACGGCUAACUACGUG
RNAcentral lists this ribosomal RNA (497 nucleotides) under uncultured bacterium. Its description in RNAcentral is "partial 16S ribosomal RNA". It matches the Rfam family "Bacterial small subunit ribosomal RNA", at positions 28 to 507 of the family's 1533-position model. The record is from RNAcentral.